This 606-nucleotide ribosomal RNA is filed under the name Triticum aestivum (bread wheat). RNAcentral's name for it is "partial small subunit ribosomal RNA". The record is from RNAcentral. Lineage: Eukaryota; Viridiplantae; Streptophyta; Magnoliopsida; Poales; Poaceae.
AUGAUUCGAGCGGCGGAUAAGGCACCUGGGCCUGAUGGAUUCACGGGACUAUUGUUCCAAAAGUGUUGGACGUUGAUCAAAGAUGACCUUAUGAGGGCGAUCAAAUUUUUUAGUAAUCUGAACAUGGCCAAUCUUCAAGCUCCGAAUACUGCAACCCUCAUUCUGAUUCCAAAGGUGGAGGGAGCCACAAAGUUGACUGAAUUUCGGCCAAUUAGCCUAAUCCACAGUAUCGCCAAGAUCCUUGCAAGGCGGUUGCAGCCGUUGAUGCACGACCUUGUCUCUUCGUGCCAGAGCGCAUUCAUCAAAAAGAGGUCCAUCUUGGAUAACUUCAUGUAUGUUCAAGCUAUGAUCAAGACUCUGAAAAUGAAAAAAACGCCGGCGCUGCUCCUCAAGGUCGAAUUGAAGGCCUUUGAAGGUCUCUCUUGGGAGUUUCUUCUCGAGUUGAUGUGCGCAAGGGGUGUCGGGGCCAGAUGGAGGAAUUGGAUCGCUGGGCUGCUGUCCACCUCCAGUACCAAGCUCAACAUAAACGGCGACCUCUCGGACACCAUCUGUCAUCACCGAGGACUGCGACAGGGGGAUCCCUGUCUCCUUUGCUAUUCGUCCUAG